Molecule: ribosomal RNA, 442 nt
Filed under: uncultured bacterium
Lineage: Bacteria
Description: partial 16S ribosomal RNA
Rfam family: Bacterial small subunit ribosomal RNA
Source: RNAcentral
CCUACGGGAGGCAGCAGUGGGGAAUAUUGGGCAAUGGGCGCAAGCCUGACCCAGCAAAGCAGCGUGAAGGAAGAAGGCUCUCGGGGUGUAAACCUCCUUUUAGAGGGAAGAGCAGAAGACGGUACCUCUUGAAUAAGACAUGGCUAACUACGUGCCAGCAGCCGCGGCAAUACGGAGGUGGCAAGCGUUGUCCGGAUUUACUGGGUGUAAAGGGCGUGUAGCCGGGAAGACAAGUCAGAUGUGAAAUCCCGCGGCUCAACCGCGGAACUGCAGUUGAAACUGGUUUUCUUGAGUACCGGAGAGGUCAUCGGAAUUCCUGGUGUAGCGGUGAAAUGCGUAGAUAUAAGGAAGAACACCAGUUGCGAAGGCGGAUGACUGGACGGCAACUGACGGUGAGGCGCGAAAGCGUGGGGAGCAAACAGGAUUAGAUACCCUAGUAGUC